This 497-nucleotide ribosomal RNA is filed under the name uncultured bacterium. RNAcentral's name for it is "partial 16S ribosomal RNA". It matches the Rfam family "Bacterial small subunit ribosomal RNA", at positions 28 to 507 of the family's 1533-position model. The record is from RNAcentral.
GAUGAACGCUGGCGGCGUGCCUAAUACAUGCAAGUCGAGCGAACGGACGAGAAGCUUGCUUCUCUGAUGUUAGCGGCGGACGGGUGAGUAACACGUGGAUAACCUACCUAUAAGACUGGGAUAACUUCGGGAAACCGGAGCUAAUACCGGAUAAUAUUUUGAACCGCAUGGUUCAAAAGUGAAAGACGGUCUUGCUGUCACUUAUAGAUGGAUCCGCGCUGCAUUAGCUAGUUGGUAAGGUAACGGCUUACCAAGGCAACGAUGCAUAGCCGACCUGAGAGGGUGAUCGGCCACACUGGAACUGAGACACGGUCCAGACUCCUACGGGAGGCAGCAGUAGGGAAUCUUCCGCAAUAGGCGAAAGCCUGACGGAGCAACGCCACGUGAGUGAUGAAGGUCUUCGGAUCGUAAAACUCUGUUAUUAGGGAAGAACAUAUGUGUAAGUAACUGUGCACAUCUUGACGGUACCUAAUCAGAAAGCCACGGCUAACUACGUG